RNAcentral lists this long non-coding RNA (918 nucleotides) under Pavo cristatus (Indian peafowl). Its description in RNAcentral is "lncRNA (ENSPSTG00000012818.1)". Lineage: Eukaryota; Metazoa; Chordata; Aves; Galliformes; Phasianidae. The record is from RNAcentral.
CUGCAAGGCCAAGCGUGUAUGUUUUUGUUUUUCUGUUUGUUUUACAGAUGUUUUUGAGUCUGACCGUAAAGCCUUGGCAGUGAGAGCCGCUGCAUUUCCCUCCCCUCUAGAGGCUCAUUUUUCUUCGUGGAGUGGAAUUCAGACCCAGCUGAGGUGCCACUUCUCAGCAGUAUAUAAUAAGGAUAAUUAAAGAGCAGAAAUGAUUAGCGAGCUGGAAGUUGGAGGGAUUUGAAACUCAUCCAGGGAUCUGAAACUUCAGCAGCUUCUUUUCUGAUAUACUUCAACCAGGCAAAGGAGUUUUCAGGCUGUGUUAUGCCUUAAUUCUUCCAUGCAGCCCAUUAUCUGCUCCUUAUUGAGCUACAAUAAACGUAGAGUCCUUGAAGUACAUUUUUCUUCCCAAAUCACGUUAAGAAUGAAAGAUUGCGACAUCGAAUUGAGGAUGUAUUGUCAAAUGGAAUCAUUUCAGGAUUGUACUAAAUGUUAAUGUGUAGGGGUACAGGAGCCAACGCUGACUAUGCUCACAGUGACCUCACUGGGGACAUCCUGCUCUGGGUGAGAGGGAGUCAGAGGGACACCAGGAACCUGCUCACAUCUGCACUUGAGGUAAUGAAUCCAUAAGAGGAGGAGCUUGGACAUCGACUGUCUCAAGGAGCUUCACACUGCAUUUCAUCUGUACUCUUGCAGACAUCUCCAACAACAUUUGCAUGAAUGAAAAUGUUGCUGCCUGAAUAUUUUUUUGAUUCAAUAGAGUUUUGCAUAUGUGUAUUCAUGUCUGGAGCCAUAAUGUGUUGUAUCUGUGCCUCUGUAAGUGCAAUAAACCAUUUUUCUUGUGUAGUUUCUUGGAUGUUUUUCAAAUAAGAUCAUCCUGAAAGAAGCAAUAUUCUUGUAGAGAGUUGCACCUGGAGGGGAUGAAUGCCC